AUUUACAGUUUCCCCUUUUAAGUAUUUCUUAUUUAGGACAUUAUAUCAUCGUACUCACGUGCAUGCUUUCUCGAAACAAUAUCCUUCAAGGUCAUGAACACCAGAGACCAACUAUGGCAGAAUCAUGGAAAACUGAAGGAUUGUCAAUUCCCAUCACUUUGUUGCAUAAUAUUGGCAACUUUCUUCUUGUAGGCGAGGGUGGCAUGGUCAGCAGUUAUGGCCUGGAUGACUGCACAGCUGUGAGCCAGCUGUCAGUAUUCCCUGAUUGCCAGGUGCACGGAAUCAGUGAGCAGUCUGCAGAGUCUCUGGUGUGUAUGGACAGUCAGUCUGCAGAGUCCCUGGUGUGUACAGACAGCCAUUCUGCAGAGUCUCUGGUGUGCACAAAUGGUCCAUCGGUACAGUCUCUGGUGUGCACAGAUGGCCAGUCUGCACAGUAUCAGGCAUGCACAGAUGACCAGUCUGCACUGGCACAUACAGAUAGUCAGCCUGUGCACUCUUCGGCGUGCACAGGGAGGCAGUGGCUGGCCAGGUCCUCGGCAGAGUUUGCACUGCAUGCAGACAAUGAGCGGUCUGCAGCGCAUCUGGUAAACGACGGCAAAUAUAGGCCUGUUAAUUGCCACCAGCUGGCCGUCUAUGGCGGAAGACGACUCUGCAAGGUUUCGCUCGACGAGAAAGGACGACUGCGGCGGGAGCGGCUGUCGGCUGACCUGGCUGGGUG
Molecule: long non-coding RNA, 718 nt
Filed under: Pollicipes pollicipes
Lineage: Eukaryota; Metazoa; Arthropoda; Thecostraca; Pollicipedomorpha; Pollicipedidae
Description: uncharacterized LOC119103837, transcript variant X2
Source: RNAcentral